AUGGCAGCAAAGGCCAAAGUCUUAUUUGAGUUAUUACCAUUAUUAUUCACCACACUUGCCAUCUUAUUUCAAGCCUACAGUGGCAGAAGUGGAGUAAGACAUCAUGUUGCCUCAAGUUUAAUUGGAAAUCGCGUGCCUUGUGAAGAAUGGACACUCAGUAGAUGCUUAUUGAUGAACCUGUUGGUUGAGGAUAACUCGCUAACUUUUCUGAGCUUUGUUGGAAAAACUCAGGUUGCUGUAUCUCUAUGCAUUACAGAAAAUGGCUAGUUAAAAACUUGUCAAGGUAAGUGAAAUAGCUGUAUGUAUAAGUUGCUUGUAGGGAUCUCUCUAAUAAGUUACCAUACUUACAUAAGAAAUGAAAUUGUUUAUCAGGCAAAUACUUCUUGGCAUUAACUUUGUGGUGUUUAAAGAAUAUGAAAUUCUGUGAUGCAGCUUAUUCAAACUGUCUGAAUACUUUAACACUGUGUUUUUAGUUUGUUUGUUUUUACAACUUAAUUCUUUCGCUGAAGUUGAGUAUUUUCUCCCUAAGUUAAAUUUGAAAUGGUAAAAGCAAUCAGAAAAAGGAAGUGCAUUCUAUGAUGAAUCAAAAAUAGAGCUUGCAUUCAAAGACACUGAAAAUAUAAUAUCAUUAAGUCCUACUUAUUUUUAUUAAUGAUAUGCUUGGGAUUUUAAAUAUUUAUAUCAUUUUAUAACCCAGAACAAUGAAAGAUCUGGUCUAAAAAUUUACAAACUACUGUUUGUAAAUGGUAAACUUUGUG
Molecule: long non-coding RNA, 758 nt
Filed under: Pan paniscus (pygmy chimpanzee)
Lineage: Eukaryota; Metazoa; Chordata; Mammalia; Primates; Hominidae
Description: lncRNA (ENSPPAG00000044632.1)
Source: RNAcentral